This 184-nucleotide ribosomal RNA is filed under the name uncultured bacterium. RNAcentral's name for it is "partial 16S ribosomal RNA". It matches the Rfam family "Bacterial small subunit ribosomal RNA", at positions 1315 to 1500 of the family's 1533-position model. The record is from RNAcentral.
CCUGCAUGAAGUCGGAAUUGCUAGUAAUCGCGGAUCAGCAUGCCGCGGUGAGUACGUUCCCGGGCCUUGUACACACCGCCCGUCACACCAUGGGAGUCGGUAACACCCGAAGCCGAUAGUCUAACGAAAGAGGACGCAGUCGAAGGUGGGAUUGAUGACUGGGGUGAAGUCGUAACAAGGUACC